Rosa chinensis is the source of this 1232-nucleotide long non-coding RNA. RefSeq lists it as uncharacterized. The transcript has 5 exons. NCBI's taxonomy places the organism in Eukaryota, Viridiplantae, Streptophyta, Magnoliopsida, Rosales, Rosaceae. The record is from RefSeq and is a predicted model, not a curated record.
UUGUGUUCAACCCAAGCCUGGGACGGAGACCGAACUUCCUCUUCCAAUUUCGGCCACCUAUGAUCAACGGACCACUGGUAUUAGGACCAUCUCGCGAAUCCUAUAGCUUGGGUUUCCACCAAUGAGCUCCAACGAAGCCAAUUCGAAGCUGAGAAAUUUCUACGGUUCCAACUGCUCUUCUGCAUUUUCCGGCGACUCCGGUAGCUGAUGACGACAUGCAAGUUCACUACUCGCAGCGAGUGUCUCCUGUUCUUACCGGUUAAAGAAGAAACUUGAACCUCUACAGUUUAAUUGGAAGAGUCAUAUAUGGAGAAUCGAUUGAGACUACUUCGAAUCAAGGUAAACCAUUCUCGGCAUAUCCUUGUGAUUUUGAAGUUGGGUUGUCAAUCUGAACUAACUGCCAUGUUGUAAAUUGAAUGGUUGAGUUUGGAGGAAAACGCAGAAAUACGAAGGGAAUGGGACCCAGAAGCUUGAGGAUGAAGAGAAGUGGGAACCUAUAUUUUUAGGCUCUGCUCGUGGAUUAUUAAUGAAGAUUUCACAUGAAAGGUUGCUGCAAGUUGUUACAUACUCCAAAACCCAAAUUGGGUUUUAGACAAAAAGCUGAAUUAUAAAAGUUACCUGGAAUGCAAGUUUACUCAUAAAACAAGCUAUGGUCAUGUUGACCUACAAAAGCAAAUGAAGUCAAAGUUGCAAUAUUCUAGAAUUUGGUUUUUAUUGCAUUUUCUAUGAGUUAUUGUUUGAUGACCUGAGAGUGAGAGGAGUAUAGCGACUUCCUUGGGCUUCGAUCCCCUAAACCUCCAGAGGGGCUGUAUGGACUGAAGAGUGUCUGACAUCCGUUGAGAUGUGGCACUGCUUCUAGGUGAUACGGCGUAAGUGGACACUCUCGCUACACCUUGCCGGUGUAAACGAUAUUAAUUGUGUUUGUGGAUGCAGGUACUGUGUAUGAAGACGGGACAGGUGGAUGAUGCUAAUUGUGGCUUAGUUACCUUCUACUUUAAAUGGUCAUCGACGGAGUUAGAUCCGCGUGACAGGUUAACUUAUUUCCUUUACUCCUGUGUAACUUGUUUACCAAGGUUGUGAUUAUUUGUAAAAUACCUUUUUCAUAUAUUCUUUCGGACUUUGGCCUUGAACCAGACUAACAUUCGAUAAUUAUUUUGAAAUUACUUGUAUUUGUUUUCUUUAAAGGACUUCCGAUGGUUUUAUAGUUUUCACCUCACUUAGACAACUGCUUC